Molecule: non-coding RNA, 479 nt
Organism: Chiloscyllium plagiosum (whitespotted bambooshark)
Lineage: Eukaryota; Metazoa; Chordata; Chondrichthyes; Orectolobiformes; Hemiscylliidae
Source: RefSeq, a predicted model, not a curated record
GGGCAGCGUGCGGUGCGGCAGAGAGUCCAUGGCAGGGUUGUGAUUCAAAUUCAAAGAAGACAUAAGAUUGGGACAGUCUGUUAGGUCUGUAGAGUGGUCUGCAAGAACAGCAAUAUGAUUCUUCCAUUCAGUCGAUUUGGAUUCUCAAUAAGUCAAAUGCCUCCUCUGGUGAGAAGCAGAGUCUGGAACAAACUGGAUUUCAGCACGGAAGGUCGGGCAUGGAGGAAGAGAUGGAGACAAGGGUCGAUUUAUAGAUUUCUCUUUGGCUCAGGGAACAUGUCAGAAGAAAUGUUUUGAAAACGUCUGAAUGGGAGUGUCACUAGCGAUGCCGUUAUUGGAUGACCAUCUCUAACUGUGCAUGAAAACUCCUUGAACAGCUCCUUGAAGCGCUGCAGACUUUGUAUGUAGUUUGCGACCGCUGGAACCUGCCUCUCAUGCAGAAUAAACGUUGGUUUCCCCCUUAAAUUAGUAUUCUUACA